UACGUAGGGGGCAAGCGUUGUCCGGAAUCAUUGGGCGUAAAGAGCGCGUAGGCGGUCCGGUAAGUCCGCUGUGAAAGUCAAGGGCUCAACCCUUGAAUGCCGGUGGAUACUGUCGGGCUAGGGUCCGGAAGAGGCGAGUGGAAUUCCUGGUGUAGCGGUGAAAUGCGUAGAGAUGUGGAGGAACACCAGUGGCGAAGGCGACUCUUUGGCCUGUAACUGACGCUGAGGCGCGAAAGCGUGGGGAGCAAACAGG
RNAcentral lists this ribosomal RNA (253 nucleotides) under uncultured bacterium. RNAcentral's name for it is "partial 16S ribosomal RNA". It matches the Rfam family "Bacterial small subunit ribosomal RNA", at positions 524 to 776 of the family's 1533-position model. The record is from RNAcentral.